RNAcentral lists this ribosomal RNA (758 nucleotides) under uncultured bacterium. RNAcentral describes it as "bacterial SSU rRNA". It matches the Rfam family "Bacterial small subunit ribosomal RNA", at positions 32 to 773 of the family's 1533-position model. The record is from RNAcentral.
GACGCUGGCGGCGUGCCUAAUACAUGCAAGUUGAGCGCUGAAGGUUGGUACUUGUACCAACUGGAUGAGCAGCGAACGGGUGAGUAACGCGUGGGGAAUCUGCCUUUGAGCGGGGGACAACAUUUGGAAACGAAUGCUAAUACCGCAUAAAAACUUUAAACACAAGUUUUAAGUUUGAAAGAUGCAAUUGCAUCACUCAAAGAUGAUCCCGCGUUGUAUUAGCUAGUUGGUGAGGUAAAGGCUCACCAAGGCGAUGAUACAUAGCCGACCUGAGAGGGUGAUCGGCCACGUUGGGACUGAGACACGGCCCAAACUCCUACGGGAGGCAGCAGUAGGGAAUCUUCGGCAAUGGACGAAAGUCUGACCGAGCAACGCCGCGUGAGUGAAGAAGGUUUUCGGAUCGUAAAACUCUGUUGGUAGAGAAGAACGUUGGUGAGAGUGGAAAGCUCAUCAAGUGACGGUAACUACCCAGAAAGGGACGGCUAACUACGUGCCAGCAGCCGCGGUAAUACGUAGGUCCCGAGCGUUGUCCGGAUUUAUUGGGCGUAAAGCGAGCGCAGGUGGUUUAUUAAGUCUGGUGUAAAAGGCAGUGGCUCAACCAUUGUAUGCAUUGGAAACUGGUAGACUUGAGUGCAGGAGAGGAGAGUGGAAUUCCAUGUGUAGCGGUGAAAUGCGUAGAUAUAUGGAGGAACACCGGUGGCGAAAGCGGCUCUCUGGCCUGUAACUGACACUGAGGCUCGAAAGCGUGGGGAGCAAAC